Molecule: ribosomal RNA, 301 nt
Filed under: uncultured bacterium
Lineage: Bacteria
Description: partial 16S ribosomal RNA
Rfam family: Bacterial small subunit ribosomal RNA
Source: RNAcentral
CAGUAGCCGCGGGAAAACGGAGGGUGCAAGCGUUAUCCGGAUUUAUUGGGUUUAAAGGGUCCGUAGGCGGAUCUGUAAGUCAGUGGUGAAAUCUCACAGCUUAACUGUGAAACUGCCAUUGAUACUGCAGGUCUUGAGUAAAUUUGAAGUGGCUGGAAUAAGUAGUGUAGCGGUGAAAUGCAUAGAUAUUACUUAGAACACCAAUUGCGAAGGCAGGUCACUAAGAUUUAACUGACGCUGAUGGACGAAAGCGUGGGGAGCGAACAGGAUUAGAUACCCCGGUAGUCCCUGUCUCUUAUAC